AAGUGGCGUACGGGUGAGUAACACGUGGAUUAUCUACCUUUUAGUGGGGAAUACCCCUGGGAAACCGGGGACAAUACCGCAUAAGCUCGUGAGAGGAAAGCCGAAAGGCGCUGAAAGAGGAGUCCGCGGCUGAUUAGUUAGUUGGCGGGGUAAUGGCCCACCAAGGCGAAGAUCGGUAGCCGGCCUGAGAGGGCACACGGCCACACUGGCACUGAAACACGGGCCAGACUCCUACGGGAGGCAGCAGUGGGGAAUCUUGCACAAUGGGGGCAACCCUGAUGCAGCGACGCCGCGUGAGCGAUGAAGCCCUUCGGGGUGUAAAGCUCUUUCGACGGGAACGAUAAUGACGGUACCCGAAGAAGAAGCUGCGGCUAACUACGUGCCAGCAGCCGCGGUAAUACGUAGGCAGCGAGCGUUGUUCGGAAUUAUUGGGCGUAAAGAGUGCGUAGGCGGUGCUCUAAGUCUGUCGUGAAAUCUCCCGGCUUAACUGGGAGGGUGCGGCGGAAACUGGAAUGCUAGAGUGUGGGAGAGGUAAGCGGAAUUCCUGGUGUAGCGGUGAAAUGCGUAGAUAUCAGGAGGAACACCCGUGGUGUAGACAGCUUACUGGACCACGAC
This 615-nucleotide ribosomal RNA is filed under the name uncultured bacterium. Its description in RNAcentral is "bacterial SSU rRNA". It matches the Rfam family "Bacterial small subunit ribosomal RNA", at positions 93 to 740 of the family's 1533-position model. The record is from RNAcentral.